Rhododendron vialii is the source of this 3248-nucleotide long non-coding RNA. RefSeq lists it as uncharacterized. Lineage: Eukaryota; Viridiplantae; Streptophyta; Magnoliopsida; Ericales; Ericaceae. The transcript is spliced from 2 exons. The record is from RefSeq and is a predicted model, not a curated record.
UUUUUUUUUUGUGGGUAAAUUAGCUUGAAAUUAAAAGAGGUUAACCGAAUGUGCAGCCUACAAGGAGCAUACCCCAGGAGGAAAAUAAAAGGAAAAAAGAAAAGUGAAAAAAGUGCGAUAAACCAUGCAUAACCCGCAUGGAGAGUAAGGUAAAUUAAAGUAAAUAACAAAUUAGAUUGUGAUUAAAGUAAAUGACAUGAAAGCUAACUACUGCCUGGCACAGCCCGCCAGGCUAGGCUAUAAGAUAAGGAAGUCAUGGUCAAAAAUGACCAUCUGAUGAACCAUCACAGAGGAAAUGCAGCAACAUAGCAACUUGGCUUUGAGGGAAGGCUGAACAGCUACUACAGAGAAACUAGGUACAGAUAAGAGGCUCGAUCCGGGGAUGACAGCAUCCGACAGGGGGCCCAACCCUGCACACCACGCCCAACCAACCAAUCUACUACUCCAUCGACCUAAUUUUCAAGGCUUGCCAGAAGACAACCCGCCCUCAGCCAAAUACCAAUCACUACAGCCGCUAGAGAAGGGAUAUGAAAACAAAGAUUCUAAUACUUCAAUCUAACCUAGUGAGUCGAACACAGUACCCACCUCUAAGAGAACGGCUACUACAAAGGAAUUAAGUACCAAGAAGAGGCUCGAACUGAAGAUGUCUGCAUCCGACAAGCUACCCCUUUAAGCACCCUGCACACCACGCCCAAUCCAGACUACUACUCCCUCAACCUAAUCCCCUAGGCUCGCUAUAAACUAAAAGUGAGACAGGACAAACCGCAAACCAAAGCUACCCUUUCAAUCAGAGCUCAGGCUAAUCUAAUCAAUGAUAGCCACAGAAGCUACCCCUUUCAACCGGCCCACACCACCAAUUAGACAAAGACAGCUCUGGAGGCUACCUCUUUCAACCAGAGCCCAAGCACCGACACGAAGGCUACCCCUUUCAACCAGUGCUAGCCCCCAAUCUAAUCAAAGAUAACCACGGUUACAUUCAUACUACGCUCAACCACCGGGCUAUUGAAGCAAAGAAACUAGAAAUUUAAAGAUGCUCAACAAAGAGCUAAAAUCCAAACGAUUAACCCGAUCUCAGUUCAACAGAUGACUGCCCAUCAAGGUUCUCAUCAAAAUCUAAAUGUCCACAAGUUUAUACCUGUCAAUAAGAACUAUACAUUCACCACUGCUCAAGCACAUCCAUCAUCACCGGCGAGGCCCGAUAGAGCAGAACUAGGCUCCACUCCAUUAGGCUCCGAACUUGGGAAUGAUGACUGCUCCGGACCGAAUCUGUAGAGUAAAUGGACCCACCACAAGUAGCAAUGGGUAAUUGAUUGCAGUUUGGUGAAGACAGCUGUGGACAAUCAGAUUAUGCCCUACCGCCAUGUCACCUAGAAUGGGGAGAUCUUGACGAGCUUUGGCCGUGACCCAUACUUCUCCCUUUUACAUGGGUUUUGAACAGUACCCAUUUUCGGCGAGUAAUUACCCUCCGAUGAUUUCUUUUCUUGUAAUAGGACCCACGAGCUAGGACUCGAGGUCAUCUCUCUUUCCUGUUGUGAUGUCGGUCCACGGGGUGGAUUGGAACAAUGGAAUUUAUUCUGAUUUACCAGAGCUGGGACUGAACCUAGCCAGAAACCCUUAAAGAUAGCUCCAAAUGGCUGCGAUUAGAGCAUGGAUAGGUGGGGGCAAGAAACCCCGAAACCCACAGCCCAUACCAGAACCCACAGCUCCGACGCCGUCCAUCUCUGUAUAGACUUAGGAGCUACCUGCAAUGGUCGGGUCCUGAUCUUGGAUGAACUGAGCCAGAGAAACGGGGCGUGGAUCGGAUCCUCAGAGAAUCGGAUCAAUGGAGGAAUAUAUGGAUUGAGCGGAGAUAACCCCUUUCUCUCUCUAGAAAUUAUAGAGAGGAAAUUCUUGGGAGAUAGUUCAUAAAAUUUGCACUAUGGUAAGAGCAAGGCUUUUAUCACAUUCUAAAUUGCCACAUUCACAAGCAUAUGGGAUUGUACAUGUGUGGAACACUGUUUAAACUUAUUUACUGUGAUGUUUUCUAUUUUUGUUGGAAUCUGGUUGUAAGUAUUUUCUAGUGGCUUUGUGAUUCAUUUGGGCAGGUCCAUAAUUGUUAUUACUUCUAUCUACAAGGUAACAUUAAUCUUUACUGGUUUCUGUUUGCGGUCAGUUUUGGAGGUCUUAGGUGGGCCUCCUUUUGCUCUCGGUUGGAUUUGAGUGUGCCAGCAUAUGAGGGUUCUGUGAGAUGUGUGCUUGAGCCCCAAUCUUCUUAUGAGCGGAGGUAAUAAUUAGUGGGAGGCAUUUUGUGAGGGAGAGGCGAGGGAGUUGAGACCUGCCCUAUUGCUUUUAGUUUGAUCGGUGUGUUAGGUUUCGAGGGAGGAGUAGAGCGAGCAGAUAAUAGCAAUGGGCUCUCUAGUUCCUUGACUUAAUUGAUUUGGACUGUGAUGAUCCUCUGGAUUUUGUUAUUUUGCUCUUGUUUCUAGUCCUCUUGUGACUUUUGCUGCUGCUUUCUACUCAUUUUGGGUUGUUGUUUUCUGCUGCUACUUUGGUUGCUUUUGUUUAUUGCUGCUACGGCAGCUGCACUUUGUUUGGACUGCACUAAGGGCCUUUUGCUUGCUGCUGCUACUGCUGCUAUUUGCUACUAUUGUUUGCUAUUUCAUGCCUCUGCUGUUGUAAUGGUGGCAGUUAGCUACUAUUGAAGUGGUUUCUAAUGUUGUGCCACAGAUUCUUGUUAAUGUUGGUUCCUGCGGCAGCUGCUAUUUGUUACAUUCUAAUGCAGUUGUUGCUGCUUGUUUUGAAUCUGCUCAGGUCCAGCUCCUAUUGGUUUCCGUGGGAAGUUGUCCCUGGAUCUAUGUGGUGUGGCAAUGGGUGCCUUAGAUAAUGUAUAGGUUAUGUCCAGGUUUUGGCUACGUUGUAUUAGUCCAGUUUGGGAUGACUGCCUUUAAAUAUAUUGGAACUUUUGUACCUACCCUAGGGGGGUUGUCCCUAGGGAUGUUUAAGCCUUUCUAGGGGGCUUGUCCCUAGUUCUUUUCUUUCUCCUUUUUGGUCUGUUUUAGGCCUGUUUUGUAGCUGUCUGUAUAUCUCAUGCGGCUGCUGUGUAGGAGGCCUAUUGUAAUAUGCUUCUAUGCCUUGCUGUGUUCCCGAAUAGUUGCUGCUAUGUUGUUGCUCAAUCUAAAGGACUCAAGCUCAGCUCUUCCUACUGCAUAGUGUGUCUUUGUUUGGUUUCGUUCCCUCUUUUAGAUGAAAUGGAAACAAUUGGUAUCUUU